GCGACUGGUGGAUGCAGAGGGUGGAAGGGGAGGAAGGCAAGGUCCGCGUCGUCGGCUCCGACACCACGACGAGUCGAGCUUGUCGAAAAUUCACUUCUGCUUCCAUUAAAACACGGCAUGCUAAUGGUGAUAUUGAGACUGCAGAUAGUGUCAUUAUAAUGACGGUAGGCCCACCGGACAUUUCUAAAAUGCAUCAGAAUGGAUUUCCUCAUGAGGUGUCAAAAUACUUUAUGCUCGGUUUUCCUGUUGAAUGGGAGAAAUAUAUUAAUGCAAGCAUGUCCGAGAUGAACGAUCAGCCACAGUCUCCACUAAAAUCGACUGAAUAUUAUAUAGAGAAGUUUUUGCAGGGAAACUUAAAGUAUUCAAUGGGACUUUUUGCAUGGGAUUAUCUCAACACAUCUGAGAGGUCUACAAGUGAUACAGACAGAUUUCCUAGCCAAAGGCAUUCUAAUUCUUCCAAUAGAAGACAUAACUUUGAGGACUAUGCCUUUGUGCAGUAUCAGGAAUCAAGUGCAGGACCUUCUGUAGAUACAGCAAAGAAUGCUAGGAAUCAGGUAGAGCAAGAUGCAGAUAUUCAACAGGAAAAUAUGCACAGGUAUUCAAGUGAGCAGCAAAUUGUUACUCAUUCAAAUGAGUCUGCUUUAAUUAAUAAUUGUACAAAUGAAGUAUCCUCUGGCUUAGAAGAUUGGGAAACACCAAAAUGUGGAAAAGCAUCAACAUGUCAAGGGACUAAAGAUGCAUUAGAUAUUACAACUGAAGGGAUGAAUCCACAGCUUGGAGUUAAUCAAGGCUCAGAAGACAAUACAGUCAGGCGAUUACGGAAUGGUAAAGUGUUUGGAAUGUCAAGUAGUGCUUCCUUAAAGAAGGUGGUCUGUAAGAGGGGUCGGAUGCAAGUCAAAACAUUCUUAGAGAAGAUUAUACCAAUUGAAGAUGUCACACAUCCCGCAGAUCUGAUUUCUCGUGAGAAGGUUGGCUCAGUUGCUGUGUCCAUGUCCGCUAAACUGCAAAUACAUGAUUCUCCCCGUAAAGGAGCUCACUGCCAUGUUACUUGGACAAAAUGAAACCUGGAAGCAUUUCCGGUCAUCUUCGCAAUUCAUCUUUGUUUCUUAAUGUGGGAAAAUAAAAGGGAAUCUGGAAACACUUUUCAGACCAGGACGACCGUCGAAGCGUGGAAAGAGGAAGAGGUCUUGAGCAUUCUGCCUGAAAAUCGGCGGUACUUUUUUAUUGCAGUAGUGGCUUAAUGUUUGAUUCAGUAUUGAGAACGCUACCAGGUCCAGACGUAAGUGCAGAACGAAUGGGAUAAUGUUCUGUAUAACCAGUGGGUUCUUUUGCAAGCACCAACUUGUUUGUAUCUAGAUUAGUACCGGAUGGCUGAAACAUGUACAUAAUCAGCAGCAGCGUUCUUCCUCCGACACUUCUGUAGUAGGUUGACUAAGGGUGCGAUUAGAUUCCAAAAAUUUUUGGAAUAAAUAUUACGUCAGACGUUUGAUCAGAUGCUUGAAGAGGUUUUCGGAUACAAAUGAAACAACAAAUUAUGGAUUUCGCCAAUAAACUACGAGACGAAUC
RNA transcript from Oryza brachyantha (malo sina), 1566 nucleotides. RefSeq lists it as uncharacterized. NCBI's taxonomy places the organism in Eukaryota, Viridiplantae, Streptophyta, Magnoliopsida, Poales, Poaceae. The record is from RefSeq and is a predicted model, not a curated record. The transcript has 6 exons.